AUUGUAUGUUUAGUUUUGUAGAGAAACAAUUUAUUCGUAUCCCCAAAAUACCCACAACAUACUGUAUCAUUGCAGUGUAUAAUAAUGUACUAUUAAGUCAUUUAUACUGAAUUAAGAAAAUUGCAUUCCCUUCGCUUGAUAGUUUACUUAUGAUUACCUCUGCAGUAGUAAUAAUUAUGAACACAACAAGAUAAUUUUAAUUAUUUUCACAGCAUUCACAGUAACCGAUGAUCACUAUCCCCCUAUUACGAGCCCCUCCUUCAGUUGUCUUGGUAGAAAGCUUCACUAAUGUCCAAUAUUUAUGCAUAUUUUUUCUACAACUAUUCUGUACCUUUAUAACUACAAUUUUCAUUAUUUUUACAGAUUUCACAGUCACCUAUCAUCGCCGCUCCCCUACGACCCUCUCUUUUAGUUGUCUUGCCACAAUUUCGGAUUUAACCGUCACCGAUAAUUUUCGCCACUCUACGAGCAUCCCUUUAACUUGUCCUGUCACAGUUUUUGAUUUCACAGUCAGAGAUAAUUUUCGCCACUCUACUAGCAUCCCUUUAAUUUGUCCUAACACAGUUUUUGGUAAAUGUUGCUGAAUAGUUUCAGUAAUAUUCAAUUUUUAUGCAUACUUGGGACUUUUUACAAGGUGUACCAUUCCUAGCAAAACCUAUUAUACGGGAGAGGGAUUUUAGUUGGUAGGUCCUCCUGUGAGGGAAUCCAACACUACCCAGUCGUACGGACGGCUGGGU
RNAcentral lists this unclassified non-coding RNA (737 nucleotides) under Agrilus planipennis (emerald ash borer). RNAcentral's name for it is "uncharacterized LOC112904218, transcript variant X1". Lineage: Eukaryota; Metazoa; Arthropoda; Insecta; Coleoptera; Buprestidae. The record is from RNAcentral.